RNAcentral lists this ribosomal RNA (157 nucleotides) under Gononema pectinatum. RNAcentral's name for it is "nuclear SSU rRNA". It matches the Rfam family "Eukaryotic small subunit ribosomal RNA", at positions 80 to 234 of the family's 1831-position model. RNAcentral also lists the same sequence under 2 other names. The record is from RNAcentral. Lineage: Eukaryota; Phaeophyceae; Ectocarpales; Chordariaceae.
UGUGAAACUGCGAAUGGCUCAUUAUAUCAGUCAUAGUUUAUUUGAAAGUCCCUUACUACAUGGAUAACCGUAGUAAUUCUAGAGCUAAUACAUGCUUAAAAGCCUAACUGCCUCGGCGGACGGGUUGCAUUGAUUAGACCGAAACCAAUGCGUCUUC